CCUGGUUGAUCCUGCCAGUAGUCAUAUUCUUGUCUCAAAGAUUAAGCCAUGCAUGUGUAAGUAUGAACAAAUUCAGACUGUGAAUCUGCGAAUGUCUUAUUAAAUCAGUUAUAGUUUGUUUGAUGGUAUCUACUACUCGGAUAACCGUAGUAAUUCUUGAGCUAAUACAUGAAACAAACCCCGACUUAUGGAAGGGAUGCUUUAUUAGAUAAAAAGUCGACGCGGGCUCUACCCGUUGUUGCAAUGAUUCAUGAUAACUCAACGGAUUGCACGACCAUCAUGCCGGUGAUGCAUCAUUCAAAUUUCUGCCCUAUCAACUUUCGAUGGUAGGAUAGUGGCCUACCAUGGUGGUGACGGGUGAUGGAGAAUUAGGGUUCGAUUUUGGAGAGGGAGCCUGAGAAACGGCUACCACAUCCAAGGAAGGCAGCAGGCGUGCAAAUUACCCAAUCCUGACACGGGGAGGUAGUGACAAUAAAUAACAAUACCGGGCUCAAUGAGUCUGGUAGUUGGAAAGAGUAAAAUCUAAAUCCCUUAACGAGGAUCCAUUAGAGGGCAAGUCUGGUGCCAGCAUCCACGGUAAUUCCAUCUCCAAUAGCGUAUAUUUAAGUUGUUGCAGUUAAAAAGCUCGUAGUUGGACCUUGGGAUAGGCCGGCCGGUCCGCCAAUGGUGUGCACCUGUCGUAUCGUCCCUUCUGUCGGCGAUGCGCUCCUAGCCUUAACUGGUCGGGUCAUGCCUCCGGGGUAGUUACUUUGAAGAAAUUAGAGUGCUCUAAGCAAGCGUACGCUCUGUAUACAUUAGCAUGGGAUAACAUUAUAGGAUUUCGGUCCUAUUAUGUUGGCCUUUGGGAUUGGAGUAAUGAUUAACACGGACAGUCAGGGCAUUUGUAUUUCAUAGUCAAAGGUGAAAUUCUUGGAUUUAUGAAAGACGAACAACUGCGAAAACAUUUUCCAAGGAUGUUUUCAUUAAUCAAGAACGAAAGUUGGGGGCUCGAAGACGAUCAGAUACCGUCCUAGUCUCAACAAUAAACUAUGCCGACCAGGGAUCGGCGGAUGUUGCUUUUAGGACUCCGCCAGCACCUUAUGUGAAAUCAAAGUUUUUGGGUUCUGAGGGGAGUAUGGUCGGAAGGCUGAAACUUAAAGGAAUUGACGGAAGGGCACCACCAGGAGUGGAGCCUGCGGCUUAAUUUGACCUAACACGCGGAAACUUACCGGGUCCAGACAUAGUAAGGAUUGACAGACUGAGAGCUCUUUCUUGAUUCUAUGGGUGGUGGUGCAUGGCCGUUCUUAGUUGGUGGAGCGAUUUGUCUGGUUAAUUCCGUUAACGAACGAGACCUCAGCCUGCUAACUAGCUAUGCGGAGGUAUCCCUUCGCGGCCAGCUUCUUAGAGGGNCUAAUUCCAUUAAAAAAUGAGACCUCAGCAUGCUAACUAGCUAUGCGGAGGUAUCCCUUCGCGGCCAGCUUCUUAGAGGGACUACGGCAUUUUAGGCCGCAGAAGUUUGAGGCAAUAGCAGGUCUAUGAUGUCCAUAGAUGUUCUGGGCCACACGUGCGGUACACUUGUGUAUUCAACGAGUUUAUCGUCUUGGCCGACAGGCCUGGGUAAUCUUUGAAAUUUUAUCCUGAUGGGGAUAGAUCAUUGCAAUUGUUGGUCUUCAACGAGGAAUUCCUAGUAAGCACGAGUCAUCAGCUCGCGUUAACUACGUCUUUGCCCUUUGUACACACUGCUCGUCGCUCCUACCGAUACAAUGAUCUGCUGAAAUGUUCGGAUCGCGGCAACGUGGGCGGUUCACUGCCCGCGACGUCGCAAGAAGUCUAUUGAACCUUAUCAUUUAGAGAAAGGAGAAGUCGUAACAAGGUUUCCAUAGGUGAACUUGUGAAAG
Molecule: ribosomal RNA, 1877 nt
Filed under: Capsicum baccatum
Lineage: Eukaryota; Viridiplantae; Streptophyta; Magnoliopsida; Solanales; Solanaceae
Description: SSU rRNA
Rfam family: Eukaryotic small subunit ribosomal RNA
Source: RNAcentral